This 474-nucleotide ribosomal RNA is filed under the name uncultured bacterium. RNAcentral describes it as "bacterial SSU rRNA". It matches the Rfam family "Bacterial small subunit ribosomal RNA", at positions 33 to 507 of the family's 1533-position model. The record is from RNAcentral.
ACGCUGGCGGCGUGCUUAAUACAUGCAAGUCAACUUGACUUUAGAUAGCAAUAUCGAAAAGUAGGGUGGCGCACGGGUGCGUAACGCGUAGGUAAUCUGCCCUGAGGUCUGACAUAACCCGUCGAAAGGCGGGCUAACAUCAGAUGAUAUAUAGUCACGACAUCGUGGAAAUAUCAAAUCUUCGGAGCCUUGGGAUGAGCCUGCGUCUGAUUAGGUAGUUGGCGGAGUAAUAGCCCACCAAGCCUACGAUCAGUAGCUGGUCUGAGAGGAUGAUCAGCCACACUGGAACUGAGACACGGUCCAGACUCCUACGGGAGGCAGCAGUAAGGAAUAUUGCUCAAUGGGGGAAACCCUGAAGCAGCAACGCCGCGUGAAGGAUGAAAUACUUUGUAUGUAAACUUCUGUAAGAUGGGAAAAAUAUUCUCCUCGGGAGAAUUGAUUGUACCAUCAGAGUAAGCCCCGGCUAACUACGUG